UACGGGGGGGGCAAGCGUUGUUCGGAAUUACUGGGCGUAAAGCGUGCGCAGGCGGUUUUGUAAGCCAGAUGUGAAAGCCCCGGGCUUAACCUGGGAAUGGCAUUUGGGACUGCAAGGCUUGAGUGCGGCAGAGGAGACUGGAAUUCCUGGUGUAGCAGUGAAAUGCGUAGAUAUCAGGAGGAAUACCGAUGGCGAAGGCAGGUCUCUGGGCUGACACUGACGCUCAUGCACGAAAGCGUGGGGAGCAAGCAGG
Molecule: ribosomal RNA, 253 nt
Filed under: uncultured bacterium
Lineage: Bacteria
Description: partial 16S ribosomal RNA
Rfam family: Bacterial small subunit ribosomal RNA
Source: RNAcentral